CGUAGGCAGCAAGCGUUGUUCGGAAUUACUGGGCGUAAAGAGUGUGUAGGUGGUGUCGUAAGUUUGGUGUGAAAUCUCCCGGCUUAACUGGGAGGGUGCGCCGAAGACUGCGAUGCUGGAGUAUGGGAGAGGAAAGCGGAAUUCCUGGUGUAGCGGUGAAAUGCGUAGAUAUCAGGAGGAACACCUGCGGUGUAGACGGCUUUCUGGACCAUUACUGACACUGAGACACGAAAGCGUGGGUAGCAAACAGGAUUAGAUACCCUGGUAGUCCACGCCCUAAACGAUGCAUACUUAGGUGUGAGCCAUUCAGUUGGUUCGUGCCGGAGCUAACGCGUUAAGUAUGCCGCCUGGGGAGUACGGUCGCAAGGCUG
This 371-nucleotide ribosomal RNA is filed under the name uncultured organism. Its description in RNAcentral is "bacterial SSU rRNA". It matches the Rfam family "Bacterial small subunit ribosomal RNA", at positions 526 to 896 of the family's 1533-position model. The record is from RNAcentral.